CGGGAUUUGCGAUGGGGGACCCUGAUGAGCAUGCCGCGUGGGUGAUGAAGGCCUUCGGGUUGUAAACCUCUUUCGCUGGGACGAUUGUGACGGUACCGGGGGAAGAAGCCCCUGCUAACUCCCUGCCCGCCCCCGCGGUAAUAGACCGUGCCAUAAACCGGGGGGGUAA
Molecule: ribosomal RNA, 169 nt
Filed under: uncultured bacterium
Lineage: Bacteria
Description: partial 16S ribosomal RNA
Rfam family: Bacterial small subunit ribosomal RNA (bases 1-151)
Source: RNAcentral